RNAcentral lists this ribosomal RNA (468 nucleotides) under uncultured bacterium. RNAcentral describes it as "partial 16S ribosomal RNA". It matches the Rfam family "Bacterial small subunit ribosomal RNA", at positions 28 to 507 of the family's 1533-position model. The record is from RNAcentral.
GACGAACGCUGGCGGCGUGCUUAACACAUGCAAGUCGAACGGAAAGGCCCUGCUUUUGUGGGGUGCUCGAGUGGCGAACGGGUGUGUAUCACGUGAGUAACCUGCCCUUGACUUUGGGAUAACUUCAGGAAACUGGGGCUAAUACAGGAUAUGAGAUCCUGCUGCAUGGUUGGGGUUGGAAAGUUUCGGCGGUUGGUGAUGGACUCGCGGCUUAGCAGUUUGUUGGUGGGGUAGUGGCUUAACAAGGCUUUGACGGGUAGCCGGCCUGAGAGGGUGACCGGCCACAUUGGGACUGAGAUACGGCCCAGACGCCUACGGGAGGAAGCAGUGGGGAAUAUUGCACAAUGGGCGGAAGCCUGAUGCAGCGACGCCGCGUGCGGGAUGACGGCCUGCGGGGUGUAAACCGCUUUCGCCUGGGACGAAGCGUGAGUGACGGUAAUGGGUAAAGAAGCACCGGCUAACUACGUG